Molecule: long non-coding RNA, 734 nt
Filed under: Panax ginseng (ginseng)
Lineage: Eukaryota; Viridiplantae; Streptophyta; Magnoliopsida; Apiales; Araliaceae
Description: long non-coding RNA (PGIN_LNC007492)
Source: RNAcentral
CCAAUUCCAUUUUUUUUAUAAGUUUUCUUAUUAUUUUGACAAGAAGAGAUGCUCAUUCUGAUCGAUAUAAGAGAAUAUUGCAUGGGAAGGAAGAAUAAAAACCACAAAUCCAACAAAGGCAUUAUUGGUGUUGGCUAUUAAUAGAAAGUGAUCUCUUCCUUUACAGUAAAAUUGGCUUUACAUAAACGAAGAUGAUUACCAUCUUCAAAACCAAAGUUAGCCAUAUACAUUGAUUAUAGCUAGUCCAAAGUAAUCAUAUAUAUCUUUUGUGGCUUUGGGAAAUAAACCAUGUACCGUUUCCCAUUAUGCAAGCAAAAUAGAUACACAUGUAGGGGGAAACUUACCUUUAGGAUAGCCUUUAAAUCAACUCAUAUUCAAGUUUCUAAACCAUUGCAAAUUAACCAAUUUAAAUCUGCUCAAGCUUUACUAAGGCUGUGCACUCAUUUAGACAAAUACGUUAGAGCUCAGCUGAAACAUUAACUGAAAGCUAAAUCAGUUCAGGGGCACUAAGACUCAAGAAAAGAGCCAUCUUAGUCUUCAGUUUCAAGGUAUAUAUUACUAAUUACAUCCCCCUUAAAAUACCAUUAUCUUGAACAUUACACACAAUUGUAGGAGAAUUAAUUGACUGCAGUGGUAUUGGUGAUAGUUUUAGGUGUUCCGAUUACCCACUGUGAAGUGUGAGCAAUUGAAACACCACAACAAAAAAUCAGCCCAAUACAUUAAAGAAAUCAAAC